RNAcentral lists this ribosomal RNA (460 nucleotides) under uncultured bacterium. Its description in RNAcentral is "partial 16S ribosomal RNA". It matches the Rfam family "Bacterial small subunit ribosomal RNA", at positions 338 to 795 of the family's 1533-position model. The record is from RNAcentral.
CCUACGGGUGGCUGCAGUGAGGAAUAUUGGUCAAUGGACGGAAGUCUGAACCAGCCAAGUCGCGUGCAGGACGACGGUCCUAUGUGUUGUAAACCUCUUUUGUCCGGGAACAAAGGCGCCCACGGGUGGGCGGAUGAGUGUACCCGAAGAAAAAGCAUCGGCUAACUCCGUGCCAGCAGCCGCGGUAAUACGGAGGAUCCGAGCGUUAUCCGGAUUUAUUGGGUUUAAAGGGAGCGUAGAUGGGUUGUUAAGUCAGUUGUGAAAGUUUGCGGCUCAACCGUAAAAUUGCAAUUGAUACUGGCAGUCUUGAGUACAGUUGAGGUAGGCGGAAUUCGUGGUGUAGCGGUGAAAUGCUUAGAGAUCACGAAGAACUCCGAUUGCGAAGGCAGCUUACUAAACUGCCACUGACAUUGAUGCUCGAAAGUGUGGGUAUCAAACAGGAUUAGAUACCCGUGUAGUC